This 301-nucleotide ribosomal RNA is filed under the name uncultured bacterium. RNAcentral's name for it is "partial 16S ribosomal RNA". It matches the Rfam family "Bacterial small subunit ribosomal RNA", at positions 509 to 807 of the family's 1533-position model. The record is from RNAcentral.
CAGUAGCCGCGGUAAUACGGAGGGUGCAAGCGUUAAUCGGAAUUACUGGGCGUAAAGCGCACGCAGGCGGUUUGUUAAGUCAGAUGUGAAAUCCCCGAGCUUAACUUGGGAACUGCAUUUGAAACUGGCAAGCUAGAGUCUUGUAGAGGGGGGUAGAAUUCCAGGUGUAGCGGUGAAAUGCGUAGAGAUCUGGAGGAAUACCGGUGGCGAAGGCGGCCCCCUGGACAAAGACUGACGCUCAGGUGCGAAAGCGUGGGGAGCAAACAGGAUUAGAUACCCGCGUAGUCCCUGUCUCUUAUAC